UACGGAGGUGGCAAGCGUUGCUCGGAAUCACUGGGCGUAAAGGGCGCGUAGGCGGGGAGGUAAGUCGGGUGUGAAAUCCCUCGGCCCAACUGAGGAACUGCGCCUGAGACUGCUUCUCUUGAGUCCCGGAGAGGAAGAUGGAAUUCCCGGUGUAGCGGUGAAAUGUGUAGAGAUCGGGAGGAACACCGGUGGCGAAGGCGGUCUUCUGGACGGUGACUGACGCUGAGGCGCGAAAGCGUGGGGAGCAAACGGG
This 253-nucleotide ribosomal RNA is filed under the name uncultured bacterium. RNAcentral's name for it is "partial 16S ribosomal RNA". It matches the Rfam family "Bacterial small subunit ribosomal RNA", at positions 524 to 776 of the family's 1533-position model. The record is from RNAcentral.